Molecule: ribosomal RNA, 417 nt
Filed under: uncultured Gammaproteobacteria bacterium
Lineage: Bacteria; Pseudomonadati; Pseudomonadota; Gammaproteobacteria
Description: bacterial SSU rRNA
Rfam family: Bacterial small subunit ribosomal RNA
Source: RNAcentral
AAUGGGCGCAAGCCUGAUCCAGCCAUACCGCGUGUGUGAAGAAGGCCUUCGGGUUGUAAAGCACUUUAAGCAGGGAGAAAAAGUUGUAAGUUAAUACCUUACAACCGUGAUGUUACCUGCAGAAUAAGCACCGGCUAAUUCCGUGCCAGCAGCCGCGGUAAUACGGAAGGUGCAAGCGUUAAUCGGAAUUACUGGGCGUAAAGCGCGCGUAGGUGGUUUGUUAAGUUGGAUGUGAAAGCCCUGGGCUCAACCUAGGAACUGCAUCCAAAACUAACUCACUAGAGUACGAUAGAGGGAGGUAGAAUUCAUAGUGUAGCGGUGGAAUGCGUAGAUAUUAUGAAGAAUACCGGUGGCGAAGGCGGCCUCCUGGAUCUGUACUGACACUGAGGUGCGAAAGCGUGGGUAGCGAACAGGAUU